RNAcentral lists this ribosomal RNA (246 nucleotides) under uncultured prokaryote. RNAcentral's name for it is "partial 16S ribosomal RNA". It matches the Rfam family "Bacterial small subunit ribosomal RNA", at positions 524 to 769 of the family's 1533-position model. The record is from RNAcentral.
UACGGAGGAUGCGAGCGCUAUCCGGAUUUAUUGGGUUUAAAGGGUGCGUAGGCGGCCGAGUAAGUCAGCGGUGAAAUUUUGCAGCUUAACUGUAACAGUGCCGUUGAUACUGCAUGGCUAGGAUUUGUUGCUGUGGGUUGGAAUGUGUGGUGUAGCGGUGAAAUGCUUAGAUAUCACACAGAAUAUCGAUUGCGAAGGCAGCUCACAAAGCUAAGAUUGACGCUGAGGCACGAAAGUGUGGGUGGA